UUCCUACUUUAUGUUUUACUUUAAAGAUAAUUUUCAGACUUUCUGCAUUUCAUCACUAACAAAUAAUAUUGAAACUAACUAACCUGUAACAUGUGACUGAAUUGCUUCUGAAUCUUUGGAAACUAUGGUUAAUUUUUAUUGACUUACUUUAUGUGAAUUAUCUUACUAAAUUAUAGUUUAAUAAAUCUCCUAUAGUCAGUAAUAAUUUCAUUAACAUGUAUAUGUUAACCAAUUUUCAGACUAGUCAGAUGUCCUGCUUCAGGACUAGGGCAAAAGAUUUUGAAAUGGUCUAAGAGAACUGAAUUUCUAUUAAGCAGAACAUUCUAUGGUGUGUUAAGUGUUUGGAAUUGAGCUGAUGAGUCCCAGCAAAGUUUUACCCUUAGAAAGGUGGGGAAAAGUUUUAAGAUGGUCUGUGCCAAGAAUGGCCCCAGGGUAUUCCCUAAAAAAAUAUUGGCCACCAUCUUCCUAGGUGCUGCAAUUCCAUAAUAGUCAUUAUGGUUAGUCUUCAGUUUCAUAAAAAUGUUACUGCCUCAGACUUGCCAUUAACAGUGUCUCAGCACUCAUAUUGCCAACCAUCUACUGGCAUGCAAGGAAGACAGGUAAGAAGGGCCUGUGCAUCCUUUAGCAGUUGUUAACUAGAUACAGACCUACUUCACUCAGGAUAGUUAUGUCUCUCACUGAGAAGAGAUUUCUGAAGUCUACUAAGUGUUCUAAAUGAGUUACAUAUGUGUAUGUAAAUGUCUAUGUAUACUAUAUAUAUUCUACUUGUGUUUUUUUAAAAUUACUUAAAUUCUUAUGUCUUGUUCAAUAUGUAAGAUGAAAAUGGAGUCGUUCAGUGUUUGCAUUGUAGACAUGACAACUGUCUAUAUGGUAUAGUUGAACAUCUUUUGAUCACUGGCUGACUGCAUUGAUCAGCUUUCUGUCACUAUAACAAAAUACCUGAGAUAAUGAACUUAUAAGAAAGGCUUGUUUUUGUCUCACAACUUUGGAGGUUUCAAUCUGUGAGCAGUUGGCCCCGUGGCUUUGGGCUUGUGACAAAGUAGCACAUUAUGGCAGGGGAGUGAGGACAAAGCAAAACUGCUUACCUCAUGAUCAGGAAGUAAGGAAGGAGAGAGGAAAGGUCCAAGGUACCCAGGAUCAAGUGUGCACCCCGAAUGACCUAAGGCCUCCCAGUGGGCGUCACUUCCCAAAGGUUCUACCACCUCCCAAUAAUGCUACCUGGAACCAAGCCGCUGACAUGUAGACUUUUGGGGGGGUAUUCAGCCUCCAAGCUACAGCAUUAUUCAAUCUAAAGCAGUUGAUCUGGCUUUGAUAUUUGAAAUCAGAUGAUUAAAAUUUUUUAAUUUUAAAAUUACAUUACUAGAAAUAGAAAGCUUUUAAUAGUUAAUUUUAGAUUAAAAAAAAAACAGCAAAUGCCAUGUAUGCAUUCAACAAAUGUUUCCCAGAAUUCUCUUUUCACAAGGCAUAGCCACGGGUCUGGUGGAAGUGUUCCAUAUAUUUGGAUCAAAAAUCUUCAGUGUUUCUAUGUGUUAUUGAUUACUUGUGUCUCUUACCUAAAAUGACAUUGUUUGUAACCCAAACCUAUUCUAAUACAUGUACAUAUACAUACUGUGUGUAGCCAAGAACACUAAGUUGGUGAAAUAUCUUAGAAAACAUACAUUUGAAUUUGAAUGUCUAAUGCACAAGAAAAUUUAUUAGCAUUCCAGAUGAAUAUAUAUUUUUGUAACUGUGAAGUGAAUGAGUAGAACAUAGAAUUUUGCUUAAAAAUAUUUUUAUAAGUACUCAUGUACUCAAUAUUCACUAUUUUAAACAGUAAAAUAUCAAAUUGGUUCUUUUUAAAUAGUAAUUGUUUUGAACAUAUGUAUAUUUAACAUUGUAUAACAUCAACAAUUUAAUGAUAAAUUUCAUCUGAAAGUGUUAUUAGUCUUUUUUUUUGUAAAAUAUCUGUGACAUAAGUUCAAUC
This is a long non-coding RNA of Heterocephalus glaber (naked mole-rat), 1963 nucleotides long. The record is from Ensembl. NCBI's taxonomy places the organism in Eukaryota, Metazoa, Chordata, Mammalia, Rodentia, Bathyergidae.